CAAAUGCUCGCCACAAUAAUAUAUGUCUAUAUUAUUGAAAAGUAGUAAUACGCAAUCUGACUUACGGUUUCUUCAGGUUUAUUCUUUGUUACGGAUACAUAAUAAAACAUAAUAAAUGUUACAGGAUAGUGUACAUUCAACAGCAGAUGGUAAUUGCUGGACUUCUUUUGGGAGAGUUACAUCGUUGUACAGAGCCAAGCCAAGACUGAGAGACCUCGUGUCCCUCUGUUACUAACGUCAGCAUAUAACUCUAGCCAUAUAAGGACAAGACCCCCGAAUCCACAUUCCAGAGCUCUCG
Pelobates cultripes (western spadefoot toad) is the source of this 298-nucleotide non-coding RNA. NCBI's taxonomy places the organism in Eukaryota, Metazoa, Chordata, Amphibia, Anura, Pelobatidae. The record is from the annotation of a GenBank genome assembly.